GAUGAACGCUGGCGGCGUGCCUAAUACAUGCAAGUCGAGCGAACAGAUGAGGAGCUUGCUCCUCUGACGUUAGCGGCGGACGGGUGAGUAACACGUGGAUAACCUACCUAUAAGACUGGGAUAACUUCGGGAAACCGGCGCUAAUACCGGAUAAUAUAUUGAACCGCAUGGUUCAAUAGUGAAAGACGGUUUUGCUGUCACUUAUAGAUGGAUCCGCGCCGCAUUAGCUAGUUGGUAAGGUAACGGCUUACCAAGGCAACGAUGCGUAGCCGACCUGAGAGGGUGAUAGGCCACACUGGAACUGAGACACGGUCCAGACUACUAAGGGAGGCAGCAGUAGGGAAUCUGACGCAAUGGGCGAAAGCCUGACGGAGCAACGCCGCGUGAGUGAUGAAGGUCUUCGGAUCGUAAAACUCUGUUAUUAGGGAAGAACAAAUGUGGAAGUAACUAUGCACGUCUUGACGGUACCUAAUCAGAAAGCCACGGCUAACUACGUG
This 497-nucleotide ribosomal RNA is filed under the name uncultured bacterium. RNAcentral's name for it is "partial 16S ribosomal RNA". It matches the Rfam family "Bacterial small subunit ribosomal RNA", at positions 28 to 507 of the family's 1533-position model. The record is from RNAcentral.